This 1856-nucleotide ribosomal RNA is filed under the name uncultured bacterium. RNAcentral describes it as "bacterial LSU rRNA". It matches the Rfam family "Bacterial large subunit ribosomal RNA", at positions 189 to 1973 of the family's 2925-position model. The record is from RNAcentral.
GGAAGUGAACCAUCUCAGUACCUCCAGGAAGAGAAAACAAGUCAGUGAUUCCGCUAGUAGCGGCGAGCGAACGCGGAAGAGCCCAAACCGUCGUGCAUGCACGGCGGGGUUGUAGGGCCUGUCGGGCCGCAAGGCCGGCGAGUAAAAAACCAGUGGUCUAGUCGAAAGGUCUGGAAUGGCCUGCCAUAGACGGUGACAGCCCGGUAGACGGCAGUCUGCUGGCUCGUUGGACAGGUACCUGAGUACCGCGGGACACGUGAAAUCCCGUGGGAAUCUGCGAGGACCAUCUCGUAAGGCUAAAUACUCUCUAGCGACCGAUAGUGAACCAGUACCGUGAGGGAAAGGUGAAAAGCACCCCUGUGAGGGGAGUGAAAUAGUUCCUGAAACCGUAUGCCUACAAGCAGUGGGAGGGCUAUGCCGGAUUUCCAGCAAUGGAGUGCCGGAAUGCCUGACCGCGUGCCUUUUGCAUAAUGAGCCGGCUAGUUAUUCUCAGUGGCGAGGUUAAGCGUAAGCGAGCCGCAGCGAAAGCGAGUCCGAAAGGGGCGUUUAGUCGCUGGGAAUAGACGCGAAGCGAGGUGAUCUACCCUUGGCCAGGGUGAAGUACGGGUAACACCGUAUGGAGGCCCGAACCAGUGUUGGUUGAAAACAGCUUGGAUGAGCUGAGGGUAGGGGUGAAAGGCUAAUCAAACCUCGUGAUUGCCCGUUCUCCUCGAAAUGCCUUUUAGGGCAGCCUCGGUGGGUCGGCGCUGGUGGUAGAGAACUGAAUGGACUAAGGGGCUUACCAGCUUACUGAANACAAUCAAACUGCGAAUGCCAGCGACACGUAGCCCGGGAGUGAGACGGUGGGAGCUAAGCUUCAUCGUCGAAAGGGAAACAGCCCAGACUACCGGCUAAGGUCCCUAAGUGUGUGCUAAGUGGUAAAGGAUCUGAAGACGCUUAGACAACCAGGAGGUUGGCUUAGAAGCAGCCAUCCUUUAAAGAAAGCGUAAUAGCUCACUGGUCAAGCGGCUUUGGGCCGACAAUAUAACGGGGCUCAAGCACACCACCGAAGCCGUAGAAUACNCAGUCCUGCGNGACUGCACAUUGGUAGAGGAGCGUUCUCUUCUGCUGCGAAGCCAGAUCGUAAGAACUGGUGGAGCGGAGAGAAGUGACCCUGCCGGCAUAAGUAGCGAUAAGGAAAGUGAGAAUCUUUCCCGCCGUAAGCCUAAGGUUUCCUGAGGUAGGUUCGUCCGCUCAGGGUCAGUCGGGAGCUAACGCGAGGCCGAAAGGCGUAGCGGAUGCACAUCCGGUUAACAUUCCGGAACUACCUAUUCCACGUUAUUACGAUGGGGGGACGCAGGAGGCUAACCAGGCCCACGAUUGGUUGUGUGGGUUGAGGCAUGUAGGGAGAUCCGCCAGGUAAAUCCGGUGGGUCGUUAAUCCUGAGGUGCCGGAGCGAGGGCCGCAAGGCCCAUAAAGCUGGUGACGCCACGCUGCCGAGAAAAGCCUCUAAGGAGUGGAGUGGGUACCCGUACCGCAAACCGACACAGGUAGGCGAGGAGAAAAUCCUCAGGCGCAAGUGUGAUCCCUCGUUUAGGAACUCGGCAAAUUGGCCCCGUAACUUCGGAAGAAGGGGUGCUCCGUCUCGUGAUCCGGCUUGCCCGGUGAGCGUGAUGGAGUUGCAAUAAAGAGGCUCAGGCGACUGUUUACUAAAAACACAGGGCUCUGCGAAGUCGAAUACGACGUAUAGGGUCUGACGCCUGCCCGGUGCCGGAAGGUUAAAGGGAGAGGUUAGCCGCAAGGCGACGCUUUGAACUGAAGCCCCGGUAAACGGCGGCCGUAACUAUAACGGUCCUAAGGUAGCGAAAUUCCUUGUC